This 615-nucleotide long non-coding RNA is filed under the name Physcomitrium patens. Its description in RNAcentral is "long non-coding RNA (PPAT_LNC005094)". Lineage: Eukaryota; Viridiplantae; Streptophyta; Bryopsida; Funariales; Funariaceae. The record is from RNAcentral.
GUGGAAUUAAGAGAUUUUGGCUCAAGGAGAUUGUCAUCAAGAUUGGAAAAGGAGGCAGGCUAAUACCCAAGCAGAUUUUAGGAUUUAUCAUCUAUUUGGUAUGUGCAAUUUUUUUCAAUUUUUUUAUGAUUGUUGAUAAUUUAAUUAUUAUAAGGUAUACAAAGUUUGAGUCAAAGUCAAUAGUUUAAUUAUUUGUUAUUGAAUUUAUUUGUUAUAGAGUUAUUAAGAAUUUUGUUUAAGAUUUAGGAUUUGAUUAAAAGAUUGAUUAGGAUUGAUUAGGAUCUAAGAUUUGAUUAGGAUUUGAUUAAGGUUUAGGAUUUAUUUAUGGUUUGAUUAGGAUUUAGGAUUUUUCUUGAUUUGAUUAAGAUUUAAUUAGAAUUUUACUAGAAUUUUGUUAGAAUUUGUCUAACGUUUGUCUAGAAUUUGAUUAUGGUUGAUUAGGAUUGGUCUAGGAUUUAGGAUUUCAUUAGGUUUUUAUUAGGAUUUGAUCUAGGAUUUAGUUAAGGUUGAAUUAGGAUAUCAAUUAGAGUUUAAUUUAAGAUUUUAUUAAGAUUUAUUAAGAUUUUAAUUAGGAUUAAAUUAAGAUUUUAUUAGAAUUUAUUUAAGAUUUACGUA